This 76-nucleotide transfer RNA is filed under the name Actinomycetes bacterium. RNAcentral's name for it is "Actinobacteria bacterium tRNA-Arg". It matches the Rfam family "tRNA". From Rfam's summary of the family: Transfer RNA (tRNA) molecules are approximately 80 nucleotides in length. Their secondary structure includes four short double-helical elements and three loops (D, anti-codon, and T loops). Lineage: Bacteria; Bacillati; Actinomycetota; Actinomycetes. The record is from RNAcentral.
GCGCCGGUAGCUCAGGGGACAGAGCGGCGGCCUUCUAAGCCGCGGGUCGGGGGUUCGAAUCCCUCCCGGCGCGCCC